AUCACUUCUUAGCCUUUUGGCUAAGAUCUUGUGUAGUACCUGUUCUUAUAAGUGUAAAAAACAUAUAAAAUUAAAUCAGUAGUCCAAAUUUUCAUUUCUAGACUUAAUUUUGAAGGAAAGUUGCAUGGGUUUUUUUCUCUUUUAUAAUCCUAAUGUUCCCAUAAAUGUGGAGAGUACCUCUU
Molecule: small nuclear RNA, 182 nt
Organism: Myotis myotis
Lineage: Eukaryota; Metazoa; Chordata; Mammalia; Chiroptera; Vespertilionidae
Product: U2 spliceosomal RNA
Exons: 1
Source: RefSeq, a predicted model, not a curated record